Non-coding RNA from Acidithrix ferrooxidans, 128 nucleotides. The record is from Rfam. Lineage: Bacteria; Bacillati; Actinomycetota; Acidimicrobiia; Acidimicrobiales; Acidimicrobiaceae.
GAAGCCUCUAGCUCCGUGGUUCUUUCGAUAUUAAUUUACUAGAAAGGAUAUCAAAUCGGCACAAGCUGCGUUGGUAGCGAGCCAGGGUGAUGAGCGUUGAGCUGAAAGGCGGAGAUACCUCCAUUUGA